RNAcentral lists this ribosomal RNA (468 nucleotides) under uncultured bacterium. Its description in RNAcentral is "partial 16S ribosomal RNA". It matches the Rfam family "Bacterial small subunit ribosomal RNA", at positions 28 to 507 of the family's 1533-position model. The record is from RNAcentral.
GACGAACGCUGGCGGCGUGCUUAACACAUGCAAUUCGAACGGAAAGGCCCUGCUUUUGUGGGGUGCUCGAGUGGCGAACGGGUGAGUAACACGUGAGUAACCUGCCCUUGACUUUGGGAUAACUUCAGGAAACUGGGGCUAAUACCGGAUAGGAGCUCCUGCUGCAUGGUGGGGGUUGGAAAGUUUCGGCGGUUGGGGAUGGACUCGCGGCUUAUCAGCUUGUUGGUGGGGUAGUGGCUUACCAAGGCUUUGACGGGUAGCCGGCCUGAGAGGGUGACCGGCCACAUUGGGAAUGAGAUACGGCCCAGACUCCUACGGGAGGCAGGAGUGGGGAAUAUUGCACAAUGGGCGGAAGCCUGAUGCAGCAACGCCGCGUGCGGGAUGACGGCCUUCGGGUUGUAAACCGCUUUCGCCUGUGACGAAGCGUGAGUGACGGUAAUGGGUAAAGAAGCACCGGAUAAAUACGUG